Molecule: ribosomal RNA, 774 nt
Filed under: uncultured Neocallimastigales
Lineage: Eukaryota; Fungi; Neocallimastigomycota; Neocallimastigomycetes; Neocallimastigales
Description: partial large subunit ribosomal RNA
Rfam family: Eukaryotic large subunit ribosomal RNA
Source: RNAcentral
CGUCUAUAUACGUAUAGCAUAUCAAUAAGCGGAGGAAAAGAAACUAACUAGGAUUCCCUCAGUAACGGCGAGUGAAGCGGGAAGAGCUCAAAUUUGAAAUCUUCAAGGUUCUACCUUGACGAAUUGUAGUUUAAAGAAGUGUUUUCUGUUGGAGUUUUGGUAAAAGUUCUUUGGAAUAGGACAUCAUAGAGGGUGAGAAUCCCGUAUUUGACCAUUAUUUCCAACUUUGUGAUACACUUUCAAAGAGUCGGAUUGUUUGGGAAUGCAGUCCAAAAUGGGUGGUAAAUUUCAUCUAAAGCUAAAUACUGGCGAGAGACCGAUAGCGAACAAGUACCGUGAGGGAAAGAUGAAAAGAACUUUGAAAAGAGAGUUAAACAGUACGUGAAAUUGUCAAAAGGGAAGCGUUUGACACCAGUGUUGUUUUCUCGAAAAUCAAUUAAAAAUGGUGGGAUUUUGUGUUGUAUUGACUUUAUCAGCUUUCUGCACUUUUUUCCUAUCUUUUUUAAUGCACUUUUCGUUUAACAAGUCAACAUCAAUUUCUUUUGUUGUAAAAGGGUCAUUGGAAGGUGGCUUUCUUUUCGGAGAAAGUGUUUAUAGCCUUUGGCCUCUGCAAUCGGAGAGAUUGAGGUCUGCAGCGUAGAUCCUUCGGGGUUAGAUGCAUUUGUGCUAAGUUAUAGCCUUUCAUAGACAACUUGUUGACUAUGAUCAGUCAUGUAGCUUACUCGCUUAUGUCAUUUUACCUACGCUUAGGAUGUUGACGAUCAGCUGAGCGCG